Molecule: ribosomal RNA, 983 nt
Filed under: human gut metagenome
Description: bacterial LSU rRNA
Rfam family: Bacterial large subunit ribosomal RNA
Source: RNAcentral
GCCGUAACUAUAACGGUCCUAAGGUAGCGAAAUUCCUUGUCGGGCAAGUUCCGACCUGCACGAAUGGCGUAACGAUCUCCACGCUGUCUCGGCCAGAGACUCGGUGAAAUUGAAGUCGCGGUGAAAAUGCCGUGUACCCGCAGAAAGACGGAAAGACCCUGUGCACCUUUACUAUAGCUUGACAUUGGGUUUUGAACCUGCAUGUGUAGGAUAGGUGGGAGGCUGUGAAAGCUGUACGCCAGUAUGGCCGGAGCCACCCGUGAAAUACCACCCUUGUUUGUUCAGGACCCUAACUCGCCGCUGUAAUCCAGCGCGAAGACAGUGUCUGGUGGGUAGUUUGACUGGGGCGGUCGCCUCCUAAACUGUAACGGAGGCGUGCGAAGGUUCGCUCAGGGCGGUUGGCAAUCGCCCGCAGAGCACAAGAGUACAAGCGAGCCUGACUGCGAGACCAACAAGUCGAGCAGAGACGAAAGUCGGUUCUAGUGAUCCGGCGGCCCAGCGUGGAAUGGCCGUCGCUCAACGGAUAAAAGGUACUCCGGGGAUAACAGGCUGAUCUUGCCCAAGAGUCCACAUCGACGGCAAGGUUUGGCACCUCGAUGUCGGCUCAUCGCAUCCUGGGGCUGUAGCAGGUCCCAAGGGUUGGGCUGUUCGCCCAUUAAAGCGGUACGCGAGCUGGGUUCAGAACGUCGUGAGACAGUUCGGUCCCUAUCCUCCGUGGGCGCAAGAGAAUUGAGAGGAUCUGUCCCUAGUACGAGAGGACCGGGAUGGACGCACCUCUGGUGCCGCAGUUGUCGACCAACGGCACAGCUGCCUAGCUACGUGCGGAACGGAUAACCGCUGAAAGCAUCUAAGCGGGAAGCCGGCCUCGAGAUGAGUUCUCUCUUCGGUAAGGCCACUUGUAGACCACAAGUUCGAUAGGCCGCAGCUGCAAGCCCCGCGAGGGGCUCAGGCGAGCGGUACUAAUCGGCCGAGCUCUUCAUCUC